RNAcentral lists this ribosomal RNA (497 nucleotides) under uncultured bacterium. Its description in RNAcentral is "partial 16S ribosomal RNA". It matches the Rfam family "Bacterial small subunit ribosomal RNA", at positions 28 to 507 of the family's 1533-position model. The record is from RNAcentral.
GAUGAACGCUGGCGGCGUGCCUAAUACAUGCAAGUCGAGCGAACGGACGAGAAGCUUGCUUCUCUGAUGUUAGCGGCGGACGGGUGAGUAACACGUGGAUAACCUACCUAUAAGACUGGGAUAACUUCGGGAAACCGGAGCUAAUACCGGAUAAUAUUUUGAACCGCAUGGUUCAAAAGUGAAAGACGGUCUUGCUGUCACUUAUAGAUGGAUCCGCGCUGCAUUAGCUAGUUGGUAAGGUAACGGCUUACCAAGGCAACGAUGCAUAGCCGACCUGAGAGGGUGAUCGGCCACACUGGAACUGAGACCCGGUCCAGACUCCUACGGGAGGCAGCAGUAGGGAAUCUUCCGCAAUGGGCGGAAGCCUGACGGAGCAACGCCGCGUGGGUGAUGAAGGUCUUCGGAUCGUAAAACUCUGUUAUUAGGGAAGAACAUAUGUGUAAGUAACUGUGCACAUCUUGACGGUACCUAAUCAGAAAGCCACGGCUAACUACGUG